CACAAGGGGUGAAGCCUGCGGUUCAAUUGGAGUCAACGCCGGAAAUCUUACCGGGGGCGACAGCAGAGUGAAGGUCAAGCUGAAGACUUUACCAGACAAGCUGAGAGGAGGUGCAUGGCCGUCGCCAGCUCGUGCCGUGAGGUGUCCUGUUAAGUCAGGUAACGAGCGAGAUCCCUAUCUCUAGUUGCUACUGCUGCUCUCAGGAGUAGUAGAGCUAAUUAGAGGGACCGCCGCCGCUGAGGCGGAGGAAGGAGGGGGCUACGGCAGGUCAGUAUGCCCCGAAACCCUCGGGCCACACGCGGGCUGCAAUGGUAAGGACAAUGGGUUCCUAUUCCGAAAGGAGGAGGCAAUCCCCAAACCUUACCCCAGUUAUGAUUGAGGGCUGAAACUCGCCCUCAUGAAUAUGGAAUCCCUAGUAACCGCGUGUCNUCNUCGCGCGGUGAAUACGUCCCUGCUCC
This 458-nucleotide ribosomal RNA is filed under the name uncultured archaeon. Its description in RNAcentral is "bacterial SSU rRNA". It matches the Rfam family "Archaeal small subunit ribosomal RNA", at positions 880 to 1336 of the family's 1478-position model. The record is from RNAcentral.